UACGGAGGGAGCGAGCAUUGUUCGGAUUUACUGGGUGUAAAGGGUGUGUAGGCGGUUUGGUAAGUUAGAUGUGAAAUCUCUGGGCUUAACCCAGAAACUGCAUUUAAUACUGCUGGACUAGAGUAUGUAAGAGGAAGAUGGAAUUCUCGGUGUAGGGGUGAAAUCCGUAGAUAUCGAGAGGAACACCAGUUGCGAAGGCGAUCUUCUGGGACAAUACUGACGCUGAGACACGAAAGCUAGGGGAGCAAACAGGAUUAGAUACCCUGGUAGUCCUAGCUGUAAACGAUGAGGACUAGGCGUUGGUUCACCUUUGGUGGACCGGUGCCGAAGCUAACGCAUUAAGUCCUCCACCUGGGGAGUACGGUCGCAAGGCUGAA
Molecule: ribosomal RNA, 377 nt
Filed under: uncultured bacterium
Lineage: Bacteria
Description: bacterial SSU rRNA
Rfam family: Bacterial small subunit ribosomal RNA
Source: RNAcentral